RNAcentral lists this ribosomal RNA (253 nucleotides) under uncultured bacterium. RNAcentral's name for it is "partial 16S ribosomal RNA". It matches the Rfam family "Bacterial small subunit ribosomal RNA", at positions 524 to 777 of the family's 1533-position model. The record is from RNAcentral.
UACGAAGGGGCUAGCGUUGCUCGGAAUCACUGGGCGUAAAGGGUGCGUAGGCGGCUUCUUAAGUCAGGGGUGAAAUCCUGGAGCUCAACUCCAGAACUGCCUUUGAUACUGAGAGCCUUGAGUCCGGAAGAGGUAAGUGGAACUGCGAGUGUAGAGGUGAAAUUCGUAGAUAUUCGCAAGAACACCAGUGGCGAAGGCGGCUUACUGGUCCGGUACUGACGCUGAGGUGCGAAAGCGUGGGGAGCAAACAGGG